This 280-nucleotide ribosomal RNA is filed under the name Bacillus sp. ok061. Its description in RNAcentral is "16S rRNA. Bacterial SSU". It matches the Rfam family "Bacterial small subunit ribosomal RNA", at positions 1 to 267 of the family's 1533-position model. The record is from RNAcentral. Lineage: Bacteria; Bacillati; Bacillota; Bacilli; Caryophanales; Bacillaceae.
CUUUAUUGGAGAGUUUGAUCCUGGCUCAGGAUGAACGCUGGCGGCGUGCCUAAUACAUGCAAGUUGAGCGAAUGGAUUGAGAGCUUGCUCUUAUGAAGUUAGCGGCGGACGGGUGAGUAACACGUGGGUAACCUGCCCAUAAGACUGGGAUAACUCCGGGAAACCGGGGCUAAUACCGGAUAACAUUUUGAACUGCAUGGUUCGAAAUUGAAAGGCGGCUUCGGCUGUCACUUAUGGAUGGACCCGCGUCGCAUUAGCUAGUUGGUGAGGUAACGGCUCA